This 253-nucleotide ribosomal RNA is filed under the name uncultured prokaryote. Its description in RNAcentral is "partial 16S ribosomal RNA". It matches the Rfam family "Bacterial small subunit ribosomal RNA", at positions 524 to 776 of the family's 1533-position model. The record is from RNAcentral.
GACAGAGGGGGCAAGCGUUGCUCGGAAUUACUGGGCGUAAAGUGUGCGCAGGCGGCCGAGCAAGUCGAGUGUGAAAGCCCCGGGCUUAACCUGGGAACUGCGCUCGAAACUACUUGGCUUGAGUGUGGCAGAGGGAGGUGGAAUUCCACGUGUAGCGGUGAAAUGCGCAGAUAUCAGGAGGAACACCGGUGGCGAAGGCGGGUCUCUGGGCCGAUAUUGACGCUGAGGAGCGAAAGCGUGGGGAGCGAACAGG